GUAGGUGGCAAGCGUUGUCCGGAAUUAUUGGGCGUAAAGCGCGCGCAGGCGGUUCUUUAAGUCUGAUGUGAAAGCCCACGGCUCAACCGUGGAGGGUCAUUGGAAACUGGAGAACUUGAGUACAGAAGAGGAAAGCGGAAUUCCACGUGUAGCGGUGAAAUGCGUAGAGAUGUGGAGGAACACCAGUGGCGAAGGCGGCUUUCUGGUCUGUAACUGACGCUGAGGCGCGAAAGCGUGGGGAGCAAACAGGGAUUAGAUACCCUGGUAGUCCACGCCGUAAACGAUGAGUGCUAAGUGUUAGGGGGGUUUCCGCCCCCCUUAGUGCUGCAGCUAACGCAUUAAGCACUCCGCCUGGGGAGUACGGCCGCAAGGCUA
Molecule: ribosomal RNA, 375 nt
Filed under: uncultured organism
Description: partial 16S ribosomal RNA
Rfam family: Bacterial small subunit ribosomal RNA
Source: RNAcentral